This is a long non-coding RNA of Carassius gibelio (silver crucian carp), 7380 nucleotides long. RefSeq lists it as uncharacterized. NCBI's taxonomy places the organism in Eukaryota, Metazoa, Chordata, Actinopteri, Cypriniformes, Cyprinidae. The record is from RefSeq and is a predicted model, not a curated record. The transcript is spliced from 2 exons.
CCUCUAACCUCUGUCUGUUCAAUGGCUCCAGGAUACCCUGCAGAAGAAACACAUGGCAGAAAGUGGCCAAAGAUUUCAAAAAGUGCUUUUACUCUUAUUACAGUUGGUAAUUACUAUAUUACUAUUAUACUAUAUUGCUAUAACUAUAAAUAUGUUCCAACAUCUUAACUGGAAUGUAGUAAAAAAAAAAAAAUACUACUAGAAAAAGAUUCCAUGGGAUGCUCAUGGUUUUCUUGGCAUGGUACCAUUGUAAUGUUCUUUUUUUAGAUUAUUAUAUUAUUGAUAUUAUGGUACUACGAUACUUUGUAAAUACCAUGAUACCAUAUAAAAAAUGAACCAUGAUGUAUGAACAUGGUAAUCCUUCAGUAUGAUUCAUGGUAUUCAAUUUACAUUUACAUUUAUUCAUUUAACAGACGCUUUUAUCCAAAACGACUUACAAAUGAGGAUAAUGGAAGCAAUCAAAAUCAACACAAGAGCAAUGAAAUACAAGUGCUAUAACAAGUCUCAGUUAGCUUAAUGCAGUACGCAUAGCAAGGGCUUUUAAAUAAUAUAAUAAAUAAAAAGAAAACAGAUAGAAUAGAAAAAGAAUAAAGCAAGCUAGUGUUAAGAGUUUUUGUUAAAUAAUAAUAAAGGAAAUGGAAACAGAAUACUAAAAGAUUAGAAAGCUAGUUAGAUUUUAUUUUAUUUAGAAUAGAAUAAGGAUAGAGAGUGCUAAAGUUAUAGGGUCAAAUAACGAUGCAAGAGAUGUGUUUUAAGCCGAUUCUUGAAGAUGGCUAAAGACUCAGCUGCUCGGAUUGAGUUGGGCAGGCAAUUCCACCAGGAGGGAACAUUUAAUUUAACUGUAAAGGUUUGAUAGAAUUGGCUGGAAGACCUGCCAAGAUAGCACUGCAAUAGCCCAGCCUGGACAGAACAAGUGCCUGAACCAGGAGUUGUGCAGCAUGUUCCCGAAAGAAAGGGCCUGAUCUUCUUGAUAUUGAAUGAAGCAAAUCUGCAGGACCAGACAGUUUUAGCAAUGUGGUAUGAGAAAAUCAGCUGAUCAUCAAUCCUAACUCCAAUAAUUACGUGUUCUUUAAUCCAACAUGCUACAUUUCUUAAUUAGGGUAAUGAAAAACAUUUAACUUCUAUUCAGAAGCCAACAGCAAGAAGGCAGACAUUCGUAAAAUGGGAGGAGAACAUGGACCAGCAUUACUGACAAAUGAAGGGGAGAUGGCCACAAAACCAAUAUUAAAAUUCAACGGGAAAAAAAAGUGUGUUGUGUUUAUUUAACAACUGUGGUGGUGGCUACAGCAUAUCUAGCAUUACCCUUCCAUCUGGCAUCCUUCCAUUCAGCUUAAUUUUCGGAAGGUGCGAUGGUGACACAAUAUGUCUAUAAUCAGUAAAUCCAAACACACUGGAAAUCCUAAAGGAAAUUCUAAUUAUUAGGUUACUUAGAGGUCACAGCAGAUGCUAUUAAAGGGUUAGUUCACCCAAAAAUUAACAUUAUGUCAUUAAUGACCAGUGUUUGCAAUAACGGCGUUUAAAAGAACGGCGUUAGGUAACGACGUUAUUUUUUCAGUAACGCGGUAAUCUAACUAAUUACUUUUCCCGUCGUUACAACGCCGUUAACGUUACUGAACGUUAAAUGUGGUGCGUUACUAUGCAUUGAUUUAAUAAACUAUGCAAUCCGAACGGACCCCUGGCUCACACAGCGAGUGAUCAGGUGGGUUAAUAACGAGAUAAGCGAUUAUGAUUGGCUAAGGCAGAGUCAUGUGUUUCAUGGAAGCCAAUCAGAGCCAGUGUUUUUACACACAUGCUGGCACACGCGGCUGCACCAGCGGCGCCAAACACACACACACACACACACACACGCAACAGCUAAACAGAGAUUCGCAGCAGCAGAAAUGGCGAUGAAAAGUUGGCAUUUUCAAGGUGAAGACAUAAGCACUACUUCAAAUUCAUUGUGGUCAAAGGCAAGAACGUGCACAUGUAAUGUGUACAUGUAAUGUGUGACACGCAUCUACAAAGCUAGUGGCCAAAAACACUUUUCUUACAAAGAUAAAACUUGAAGUGCAGGAUAAAACUCUUGCUGUCUGUUGACGUGCAAAUUCUCAUUUCAACAGACUUGUGAAAAAAAAAGUACAAAUUCUCUGACAUGUAGCAACUUUUUUUUUUUUUUUUUUUACAGUAACGCAAAUAGUUACUUUCCCUGGUAACGAGUUACUUUUAUUAUAGAGUAAUUCAGUUACUAACUCAGUUACUUUUAGGAACAAGUAGUAACUAUAACUAAUUACUUUUUUAAAGUAACAUUCCCAACACUGUUAAUGACUCACCCUCAUGUCGAUGACUCUUCCUCAUAUAUAUAUAUAGGUUUUCUCUACUUCCUGUUGGCCUUCUGUAGCUAAUCGUAGCUCCGUGUAGCUGUUUUUAUUUAUUUUUUUUCUCUAGAAUCUUUAUCUUACUAUCACUGUCUGUUUGUUUGUUUGUUUUUUAAGUUGUAAAAUAUAACUUAAUUCACACCAUAUUUCUGAUAUUAUCGAUCAAUCUUAUCAGAUUAACUUUGAUCGUUCACUUUUCCGUGAGUGCAGUACACCUACAAAGCGUUAGCACUCGUUAGCUUGUCAUUAGCGUUCUCUAUUCUCCUCUCCUCUCUCUCGCUCCAGUUUUUCACAAGUUCAUCAAACAACCACAGUAAGAAUAUUUCAUCAAGCACGGUGAGUAAUGGCUUCGCCUGCUAUCAUUAUUUGCACCUCUUGCCACAUGUACAGUUUAUCUAUCUCUGUCGCUGAUGAGGGAUUCACAUGUGAUAAAUGCAGGGAAAUAGUUAGGCUGACAGAGAAGAUUUCAGAAUUAGAGACACGCAUCCAAACUUUAAUUGAGGACAGUAAGAAUGUUAGGGCUCUAGAUACGGCUUUGGAUGCGUCUAGCUCAGGGAUUCCUGUACAUUGUCCGGUUCCAGCAGAGCCCCUGCAGCAGGGCAACUGGGUGACAGUGAGGCAGCAUAGUCGUGGGUAAAAACACCGCUCUUCUGUUCCAAUCAAAACAUUAAACAGGUUCUCCCCACUCAGUGAUUCACCCACUGAGAAACCUGAUGAAAGUGCUCUAGUUAUUGGUGAUUCUAUUGUACGGAACGUGAAUAUAGAGACACCAGCCACCAUAGUCAAAUGUUUACCGGGAGCCAGAGCGCCUGACAUCUUGGCAAAUUUAAAAGUGCUGGCUAAUGCUAAGCGUAAAUACAGUAAGAUUGUUAUUCAUGCCGGCACUAAUGAUGUUCGACUUCGCCAGUCGGAGAUCACUAAAAAUAACUUUAAAGAGGUGUGUGAACUUGCAAGCACGAUGUCAGACACUGUAAUAUGCUCUGGUCCCCUCCCUGCUUACCGUGGUGAUGAGAUGCAUAGCAGAUUGUCAUCACUCAAUGGCUGGAUGUCUAAGUGGUGCCCACAGCAUAACAUAGGUUUCAUAGACAAUUGGACGAGCUUUUGGGGCAGACCUGACCUGCUUAAAAGAGAUGGUCUUCAUCCCUCCUGAAAUAUGGCAAAUAGUCUUAGAGUUCAUACUUGACUAACUGGGGCCCAGGUCAGGAAGCAGACAGACUGGCUAAACUGACCGUCUGCUAGCUGCCUCCCGUCACAGAGGUCAGCUAAUUCUCAGCACAUAGAGACUCUUUCACCUAGAUAUCACACUAUAGAGACUGUGUCUGUUCCCCGAACUAGAAAAUACAAAAAAAGUUAAGGUUAACAAUUUAAUUGAGGUUCAACAAAUAAAAAACAAAUUCAAUAUGGAUAAACAAAUGAUAAAGCUUGACUUAUUGAAUAUCAGAUCGAUUUCUACUAAAACACUUUUUGUAAAUAACAUGAUAACUGAUCAUAAUAUAGAUGUGCUCUGUUUGACAGAAACCUGGCUAAAACCUGAAGAUUACAUUAUUUUAAAUGAGUCCACCCCCCAAGAUUACUGUUAUAAACACGAGCCACGUCUAAAAGGCAAAGGGGGAGGAGUUGCUUCAAUUUAUAACAACGCUUUCAGGAUUUCUCAGAGGGCAGGCUUCAAGUAUAACUCGUUUGAAGUAAUGGUGCUAUAUAUAACAUUAUCCAGAGAAACAAAUGUUAAUGAUAAAUUACCUGUUAUGUCUGUACUGGCUACUGUAUACAGGCCACCAGGGCACCAUACAGACUUUAUUAAAGAGUUUGGUGAUUUUACAUCCGAGUUAGUUCUGGCUGCAGAUAAAGUUUUAAUAGUUGGUGAUUUUAAUAUCCAUGUCGAUAAUGAAAAAGAUGCAUUGGGAUCAGCAUUUAUAGACAUUCUGAACUCUAUUGGUGUUAGACAACACGUUUCAGGACCUACUCAUUGUCGAAAUCAUACUCUAGAUUUAAUACUGUCACAUGGAAUUGAUGUUGAUAGUGUUGAAAUUGUGCAGCCAAGUGAUGAUAUCUCAGAUCAUUAUUUAGUUCUGUACAAACUAAAAUUAUAAAUUCUACUUUUUGUUACAAGAAGUAUCGAAGAACCAUCACUUCUACCACAAAAGUUAUCUUCCUGAUGUAUCCAAAUUCCUUAGCAUAUCCAAAACCUCAGAACAACUUGAUGAUGUAACAGAAACUAUGGACUCUCUCUUUUCUAGCACUUUAAAUACAGUUACUCCUUUACGCUUAAGGAAGGUUAAGGAAAACAGUUUGACACCAUGGUAUAAUGAGCAUACUCAUACCCUAAAGAGAGCAGCCCGAAAAAAGGAGCACAGCUGGAGGAAAACAAAACUAGAGCUAUUUCGUAUUGCUUGGCGGGAAAGUGACAUAUCCUACAGAAAAGCAUUAAAAACGGCUAGAUCUGAUUACUUUUCUUCUCUUUUAGAAGAAAACAAACAUAACCCCAGGUAUUUAUUCAGUACAGUGGCUAAAUUAAUGAAAACUAAAGCCUCAACAAGUGUUGACUUUUCCCAACACCACAGCAGUAAUGACUUUAUUAACUACUUUACUUCUAAAAUCGAUUCUAUUAGAGAUAAAAUUGCAACCAUUCAGCCGUCAGCUACAUUAUCACAUCAGACAGUGCACUAUAGACCCCCUGAGGAACAGUUCCACUCAUUCUCUACUAUAGGAGAGGAAGAAUUGUAUAAACUUGUUAAAUCAUCUAAACCAACAACAUGUAUGUUAGACCCUAUACCAUCUAAGUUCCUAAAAGAGGUGCUUCCAGAAGUCAAAGGUCCUCUUCUCACUAUUAUUAAUUCCUCAUUGUCAUUAGGAUAUGUCCCCAAAACUUUCAAACUGGCUGUUAUUAAGCCUCUCAUAAAAAAAACACAACUUGAUCCCAAAGAACUAGUUAAUUAUAGACCAAUCUCGAAUCUCCCUUUUCUGUCCAAGAUACUAGAAAAGGUGGUAUCCUCACAAUUAUAUUCCUUCUUAGAGAAAAAUGGUAUAUGUGAGGAUUUCCAGUCAGGAUUUAGACAGUAUCAUAGAGACUGCUCUCCUUAGAGUUACAAAUGACCUGCUCUUAUCAUCUGAUCGUGGAUGUAUCUCUCUAUUAGUUUUAUUGGAUCUUAGUGCUGCGUUUGACACAAUUGACCACAGCAUUCUUUUGCACAGACUUGAACACUUUGUUGGCAUCAGUGGAAAUGCAUUAGCAUGGUUUAAAUCGUACUUAUAUGACCGCCAUCAGUUCGUAGCAGUGAAUGAAGAUGUAUCAUAUCGAUCACAAGUGCAGUAUGGAGUACUUCAAGGCUCAGUACUAGGGCCGCUACUCUUCACGCUUUAUAUGUUACCCUUGGGAGAUAUCAUCAGGAAACAUGGUGUUAGCUUUCACUGUUAUGCUGAUGAUACUCAGCUCAAUAUUUCUUCGCGGCCGGUGAAACACACCAAUUUGAAAAACUAAUGGAAUGCAUAGUCGAUAUAAAAAAUUGGAUGACGAGUAAUUUCUUACUGCUAAAUUCUGAAAAAACAGAGGUGUUAAUUAUAGGACCUAAAAACUCUGCUUGUAAUAACCUAGAACACUGUCUAAGACUUGCUCUGUCAAUUCGUCGUCAUUAGUUAGGAACCUUGGUGUGCUAUUUGAUCGCAAUCUUUCCUUAGAAAGCCACGUUUCUAGCAUUUGUAAAACUGCAUUUUUCCAUCUCAAAAAUAUAUCUAAAUUACAGCCUAUGCUCUCAAUGUCAAAUGCAGAAAUGCUAAUCCAUGCAUUUAUGACCUCAAGGUUAGAUUAUUGUAAUGCUUUAUUGGGUGGUUGUUCUGCACGCUUAGUAAACAAACUACAGCUAGUCCAAAAUGCAGCAGCAAGAGUUCUUACUAGAACCAGGAAGUAUGACCAUAUUAGCCUGUUCCUGUCAUCGCUGCACUGGCUCCCUAUCAAACAUCAUAUAGAUUUUUAAAUAUUGCUUAUUACUUAUAAAGCCCUGAAUGGUUUAGCACCUCAGUAUUUGAAUGAGCUCCUUUUACAUUAUACUCCUCUACGUCCGCUACAUUCUCAAAACUCAGGCAAUUUGAUAAUACCUAGAAUAUCAAAAUCAACUGCGGGCGGCAGAUCCUUUUCCUAUUUAGCGCCUAAACUCUGGAAUAACCUACCUAACAUUGUUUGGGAGGAAGACACACUCUUGCAGUUUAAAUCUAGAUUAAAGACCCAUCUCUUUAACCUGGCUUACACAUAACAUACUAAUAUGCUUUUAAUAUCCAAAUCCGUUAAAGGAUUUUUAGGCUGCAUUAAUUAGGUAAACCGGAACCGGAAACACUUCACAUAACACCCUAUGUACGUUCUUACAUCAUUAGAAGAAUGACAUCUACGCUAAUAUUUGUCUGUUUCUCUCUUGUUCCGAGGUCACCGUGGCAACCAGAUCCAGUCUGUAUCUAGAUCAGAGGGUCACUGCAGUCACCCGGAUCCAGUACGUAUCCAGACAUGAUGGUGGAUCAGCACCUAGAAAGGACCUCUACUGCCCUGAAAGACAGCGAAGACCAGGACAACUAGAGCCCCAGAUACAGAUCCCCUGUAAAGACCUCGUCUCAGAGGACCAGGACAAGACCACAGGAAACAGAUGAUUCUUCUGCACAAUCUGACUUUGCUGCAGCCUGGAAUUGAACUACUGGUUUCGUCUGGUCAGAGGAGAACUGGCCCCCCAACUGAGCAUGGUUUCUCCCAAGGUUUUUUUUCUCCAUUCUGUCACCGAUGGAGUUUCGGUUCCUUGCCGCUGUCGCCUCUGGCUUGCUUAGUUGGGGUCACUUCAUCUACAGCGAUAUCAUUGACUUGAUUGCAAAUAAAAACAGACACUAUUUCAACUGAACAGAGAUGACAUAACUGAAUUCAAUGAUGAACUGCCUUUAACUAUCAUUUUGCAUUAUUGAGACACUGUUUUCCAAAUGAAUGUUGUUCAGUGCUUUGACGCAAUGUAUUUUGUUUAAAGCACUAUAUAAAUAAAGGUGAUUGAUUGAUUGA